AUGGGCCAGACGCAGCUCUCUGUGGCUCUCCAGGAAUCGGGUGUUCAGCAAGGGCAUCUGAGUGAGUAAAUGGAAGAAUGGAGAUGACACUAUAUCACGUACAAUUCUGAUGAUCCUUGGUACACACACACCAGGCAGAGCCACAGCCAGUAUGAGGGAUGGAAGUCCUGCCAGCUGCUGCCUGUAUUUUCUCGAGUCACUAGAAUGUGAAGCUUCACCGGAAGAAUAGGCAAGCCCAGCCACUGACUCAGCAAGCCAGCAUUGUCAGACGCAGAUGUGAUUGACGACCACAUACCCUUCACCAGGAGCAAAACCAGACGAACUGGGAGCUCGACUGGACCCGUUAAGUCCUCGGCAUUGGCAACCCCAGCAGCUGCUCCAGCAGACGGCCCCCUCCUGCCUUCCAGAUGCUACUGACCAAGCUACCCUCCAUCAGCCAGGUGAGGAUGCUCUACCAUGGGAAACUAGGGCUGAAAAAUUACUUGGUGCCCUUAACCAUCUUCUUCCAAUGAUCUGCACUUGUUAAACCCCCUUUGUGGAUUUAAGGCAAUGGAUUGCUACCACCAUGGUUGGGGGGAUUUCUGCCAUAUUCCUUACACUACCAGUUCAUUCCUUUUCAAGCCCAUGAGGAGGAUUAUAUGAAUGCAUACUUCGGUUUAGGGGUAGUGGGUCGGCUUGGUCCUGAUUCUUUACCCUUCCAAAGUGUGCACUAGUUCAGUGGUCCUCAUUCUUGGCGCUGAAGGGCAGCAGUGUGUAAAUUGUCAUCGCUACCUGUGCUAUAACAAACACCUAAUUGAACUACAAUAAGACCAUACUUGGGUAAAUUUAGUGAAUUAAUGGUUGGUUGUGACAACAUGCAUUAAACCCAAGCAUACAGUUAUUGUGAACAUUAAAAAAACACAGUAAUCGAAUUGUGACUUGUGCACCUAUCCGCCGCCAUUGUCGCAACGCCUAUUACCAGCCUGUUCAACCUCUCUUUCAUAUCGUCUGAGAUCCCCAAGGAUUGGAAAGCUGCCGCAGUCAUCCCCCUCUUCAAAGGGGGAGACACCCUGGACCCAAACUGUUACAGACCUAUAUCCAUCCUGCCCUGCCUAUCUAAGGUCUUCGAAAGCCAAGUCAACAAACAGGUCACUGACCAUCUCGAAUCCCACCGUAGCUUCUCCGCUGUGCAAUCUGGUUUCCGAGCCGGUCACGGGUGCACCUCAGCCACGCUCAAGGUACUAAACGAUAUCAUAACCGCCAUGCAAAUAAAUUACUUAAAAAUCAUACAAUGUGAUGUUCUGUAUUUUUGUUUUAGAUUCCGUCUCUCACAGUUGAAGUGUACCUAUGAUAACAAUUACAGACCUCUACAUGCUUUGUAAGUAGGAAAACCUGUAAAAUCGGCAGUGUAUCAAAUACUUGUUCUCCCCAAUGUAUAUGCUGUAAAGCACGUCCAGACAUCCUACUUAUUUUACUUUUUUAACUUGCACAAAAAUAAACCACAUCCAUGUUCUCCUUUUGGUAGGUAUUUUCAUUAUU
Molecule: long non-coding RNA, 1518 nt
Organism: Oncorhynchus nerka (sockeye salmon)
Lineage: Eukaryota; Metazoa; Chordata; Actinopteri; Salmoniformes; Salmonidae
Exons: 4
Source: RefSeq, a predicted model, not a curated record